AUCCAGAAGGGUAGAUGACACAGUAUGAAGGAAUUUACACAGCACAGAAGAUGUUGUUCAGCCCAUCACAUUUGUGACAGCCCUCUGAGAAAGGAACUCAGCUGAUUCCUCUCUCCUGACACACAGAACCUAAACUGCUGCUCAUAAACACAAGAAAACGCUGAAGUAUGCAGCAAGUAAGACAGCAUCCGAGGUUUUGAGGAAGCUUCUGAGGGACCUGAAACAUUUACACUAAUUUCUCUCCACGGAUCCUACAAGACCUGCUGAGCCUUUCCAUCAAUUUCAGUUUAAGUCAGGCAACAUCUCUGAAUCAGAGCUGGAAAAAAACAAGAGACGCAGAGGUGGAAGUAGUUGUCGGUUUGGAAGGCACUGUCUAAGAGGAAUUUCUGCAGUGCAUCUUUAAGAUGUUGCGACUGAGCAUCGGACAGAGUGGGCUUUUUUGGGGACGUGGUGCAAAUCAAGCAGGCAGCUUUGUCCUGGAUGUUAAAUGGUUAAUAUCUGAGAACAUGUAUAACACCUUACAGAACAAAAACAAUUAGGUGUCGCCUUCAUUCCUUUCCAAUUGACAAAAGGAAAUAUAAGAAAGGAAUUUAGGGCAUUUGAGCAACUUCUAAAAUGAGUAAGUUAUUUCAUCAUUUUUGCAUCAGGGAAAGUCCCCAAGUUUGUACUGGUUGCCUGUCUUUUGGUUUAUAAAACUGUGAAUACUGAAACUUUACAAAUGAAAACAAAGAAUGCUAAAAGUUAUGACGUGGGAGGAAUGUUCCAAAUUUGGCUUUUUGCAAGGAAGCCUCAUAAGU
Molecule: long non-coding RNA, 797 nt
Organism: Rhincodon typus (whale shark)
Lineage: Eukaryota; Metazoa; Chordata; Chondrichthyes; Orectolobiformes; Rhincodontidae
Exons: 4
Source: RefSeq, a predicted model, not a curated record